UCCCUGGUGGUCCAAUGGCUAAGACUCGGCACUCUGAAUGCAGGGGGCCUGGGUUUGAUCCCUGAUCAGGGAA
Transfer RNA from Ovis aries (sheep), 73 nucleotides. It matches the Rfam family "tRNA". Rfam says of the family: Transfer RNA (tRNA) molecules are approximately 80 nucleotides in length. Their secondary structure includes four short double-helical elements and three loops (D, anti-codon, and T loops). The record is from Rfam. NCBI's taxonomy places the organism in Eukaryota, Metazoa, Chordata, Mammalia, Artiodactyla, Bovidae.